RNAcentral lists this ribosomal RNA (445 nucleotides) under Neisseria sicca. RNAcentral describes it as "bacterial SSU rRNA". It matches the Rfam family "Bacterial small subunit ribosomal RNA", at positions 30 to 469 of the family's 1533-position model. Lineage: Bacteria; Pseudomonadati; Pseudomonadota; Betaproteobacteria; Neisseriales; Neisseriaceae. The record is from RNAcentral.
AUUGAACGCUGGCGGCAUGCUUUACACAUGCAAGUCGGACGGCAGCACAGAGAAGCCUGCUUCUUGGGUGGCGAGUGGCGAACGGGUGAGUAAUAUAUCGGAACGUACCGGGCAGUGGGGGAUAACUAAUCGAAAGAUUAGCUAAUACCGCAUAUCUUCUGAGGAAGAAAGCAGGGGACCAUUUGGCCUUGCGCUGUUUGAGCGGCCGAUAUCUGAUUAGCUAGUUGGUGGGGUAAAGGCCUACCAAGGCGACGAUCAGUAGCGGGUCUGAGAGGAUGAUCCGCCACACUGGGACUGAGACACGGCCCAGACUCCUACGGGAGGCAGCAGUGGGGAAUUUUGGACAAUGGGCGCAAGCCUGAUCCAGCCAUGCCGCGUGUCUGAAGAAGGCCUUCGGGUUGUAAAGGACUUUUGUCAGGGAAGAAAAGGGCGGGGUUAAUACCCC